AAACUCCAAAUUCUUGUGAUCUGUGUAUACAAUGUUGUAUUACGUACUAUCUUGCUUGAGAACACGCCGGAUGUUUGGCUGGAGGAGGUAGUAUGGUGUUUUGUUAGUACUCAAGCAGUCUAUUGGAUUCUUGACUAUCCAAAUAUAAUCUAUAUCGGAUUGCAAUGUAAAAGCUUAAUUCCAAUAUAAAAUACGUAGAGAUCCUGUAUAACUUCAAUUUCUUUUGUUAUUUUUAUUUUUUUUUAUUUAUUUUAUGUUUUAUAUUUUAUCUUUAUCGUUAAUUACUUUAAUCCUAGAUCGUGAACUUCGAUAAGCUGUGAUCCUCAAUUUGUCCUUCCGACUUGUUGUGAAACAUCUAUCGCUAGUGUCUCU
This 372-nucleotide long non-coding RNA is filed under the name Physcomitrium patens. RNAcentral's name for it is "long non-coding RNA (PPAT_LNC012108)". The record is from RNAcentral. Lineage: Eukaryota; Viridiplantae; Streptophyta; Bryopsida; Funariales; Funariaceae.